GAGAGUAUAGCUCAGUGGUAGAGUGUAUGCUUAGCAUGCACAAAGUCCUGGGUUCAAUCCCCAGUACCUCCA
Molecule: transfer RNA, 72 nt
Filed under: Camelus bactrianus (Bactrian camel)
Lineage: Eukaryota; Metazoa; Chordata; Mammalia; Artiodactyla; Camelidae
Also listed under: 2 other names
Rfam family: tRNA
About the family: Transfer RNA (tRNA) molecules are approximately 80 nucleotides in length. Their secondary structure includes four short double-helical elements and three loops (D, anti-codon, and T loops). Further hydrogen bonds mediate the characteristic L-shaped molecular structure. tRNAs have two regions of fundamental functional importance: the anti-codon, which is responsible for specific mRNA codon recognition, and the 3' end, to which the tRNAs corresponding amino acid is attached (by aminoacyl-tRNA synthetases). tRNAs cope with the degeneracy of the genetic code in two manners: having more than one tRNA (with a specific anti-codon) for a particular amino acid; and 'wobble' base-pairing, i.e. permitting non-standard base-pairing at the 3rd anti-codon position.
Source: Rfam by way of RNAcentral